GUGGGUAGUUUGACUGGGGCGGUCUCCUCCUAAAGAGUAACGGAGGAGCACGAAGGUUGGCUAAUCCUGGUCGGACAUCAGGAGGUUAGUGCAAUGGCAUAAGCCAGCUUGACUGCGAGCGUGACGGCGCGAGCAGGUGCGAAAGCAGGUCAUAGUGAUCCGGUGGUUCUGAAUGGAAGGGCCAUCGCUCAACGGAUAAAAGGUACUCCGGGGAUAACAGGCUGAUACCGCCCAAGAGUUCAUAUCGACGGCGGUGUUUGGCACCUCGAUGUCGGCUCAUCACAUCCUGGGGCUGAAGUAGGUCCCAAGGGUAUGGCUGUUCGCCAUUUAAAGUGGUACGCGAGCUGGGUUUAGAACGUCGUGAGACAGUUCGGUCCCUAUCUGCCGUGGGCGCUGGAGAACUGAGGGGGGCUGCUCCUAGUACGAGAGGACCGGAGUGGACGCAUCACUGGUGUUCGGGUUGUCAUGCCAAUGGCACUGCCCGGUAGCUAAAUGCGGAAGAGAUAAGUGCUGAAAGCAUCUAAGCACGAAACUUGCCCCGAGAUGAGUUCUCCCUGAGACUUUAAGUCUCCUGAAGGAACGUUGAAGACGACGACGUUGAUAGGCCGGGUGUGUAAGCGCAGCGAUGCGUUGAGCUAACCGGUACUAAUGAACCGU
This 657-nucleotide ribosomal RNA is filed under the name Salmonella enterica. RNAcentral describes it as "partial 23S ribosomal RNA". It matches the Rfam family "Bacterial large subunit ribosomal RNA", at positions 2261 to 2912 of the family's 2925-position model. The record is from RNAcentral. Lineage: Bacteria; Pseudomonadati; Pseudomonadota; Gammaproteobacteria; Enterobacterales; Enterobacteriaceae.